ACUCAAAGGAAUUGACGGGGGCCCGCACAAGCGGUGGAGCAUGUGGUUUAAUUCGAAGCAACGCGAAGAACCUUACCAAGGCUUGACAUCCCCCUGAGAUACGCAGAGAUGUGUAUGGCCCUUCGGGGACAGGGGAGACAGGUGGUGCAUGGUUGUCGUCAGCUCGUGUCGUGAGAUGUUGGGUUAAGUCCCGCAACGAGCGCAACCCUUAUGUUCAGUAGCCAGCGGGUAGAGCCGGGCACACUGGAGAGACUGCCGUGGAUAACACGGAGGAAGGUGGGGACGACGUCAAAUCAUCAUGCCCCUUAUGUCUUGGGCAACACACGUGCUACAAUGGCUCAAACAGAGUGAAGCAAAGCAGUGAUGCCGAGCGAAACACGAAAAAGAGUCCCAGUUCGGAUUGCAGUCUGCAACUCGACUGCAUGAAGUUGGAAUCGCUAGUAAUCGCGAAUCAGCAUGUCGCGGUGAAUACGUUCCCGGGCCUUGCACACACCGCCCGU
RNAcentral lists this ribosomal RNA (500 nucleotides) under uncultured bacterium. RNAcentral describes it as "bacterial SSU rRNA". It matches the Rfam family "Bacterial small subunit ribosomal RNA", at positions 899 to 1397 of the family's 1533-position model. The record is from RNAcentral.